RNAcentral lists this transfer RNA (65 nucleotides) under Hylastes ater. RNAcentral describes it as "tRNA-Pro". The record is from RNAcentral. Lineage: Eukaryota; Metazoa; Arthropoda; Insecta; Coleoptera; Curculionidae.
CAGAAUAUAGUUUAUAAAAAUAAUAAUUUUGGAGAUUAUAGAAAAAGAUUUAACUUUUAUUCUGA